Molecule: small nucleolar RNA, 132 nt
Organism: Grammomys surdaster
Lineage: Eukaryota; Metazoa; Chordata; Mammalia; Rodentia; Muridae
Product: small nucleolar RNA SNORA17
Exons: 1
Source: RefSeq, a predicted model, not a curated record
CCUGUAUUAAGAAGCAUUACAGGUGUGUUGGCUGUGACUUAUGUGUGUCAAUAUGUCUCAGAGACAAGAGAGGCUAUGUCUAUACUCAGUGUUUUGACCUGUGAACAUCUGAAUGAUUAGGAACCUAACAUU